GCACGUUUAGCUCAGUUGGUUAGAGCAUCUCGUUUACACCGAGAGGGCCGGGAGUUCGAGUCUCUCAACGUGCA
RNAcentral lists this transfer RNA (74 nucleotides) under Candidatus Moraniibacteriota bacterium. RNAcentral's name for it is "Candidatus Moranbacteria bacterium tRNA-Val". It matches the Rfam family "tRNA". Rfam says of the family: Transfer RNA (tRNA) molecules are approximately 80 nucleotides in length. Their secondary structure includes four short double-helical elements and three loops (D, anti-codon, and T loops). Lineage: Bacteria; Candidatus Moraniibacteriota. The record is from RNAcentral.